Castor canadensis (American beaver) is the source of this 421-nucleotide non-coding RNA. Lineage: Eukaryota; Metazoa; Chordata; Mammalia; Rodentia; Castoridae. The record is from RefSeq and is a predicted model, not a curated record.
AGUCCUUGAUUUAAGGGUCAAUCUAAAGCCUUGUCUGGUAAUUCCUCAGACAGGUUUUCACCAAGAAAUGUCAGAUAUUCUGAUUUUAGAUUUUGGUACACUUCAGCUCAGCAGUAAUGAUUGAGGUUUAUGGGAGACUACUAAUUUAUGUAUGGAAGAAAUAAUGAAGCAUAUGAAAGUUUGAUGUGCAGCUUCAAAAUAAAGACUGAAAUAAAGACUGUGCAGCUUCUCUUCAUAAGAUCAGGGGCCCUUCCCCACCACUCCUGGCCCAGCCCCCGAUGAUGCUGCUGCUGGGGAGACUGCUCUGCUCAUCUCUGCAGGCACAGUGUUCACCCUGGCCAUUGCCCUGCCCCGGUGUUGCUCAGGACCUGACCUGUGACCCCACACGACGAAAAGGACAAGGGAGCAGACCACAUGGACU